Molecule: ribosomal RNA, 270 nt
Filed under: uncultured archaeon
Lineage: Archaea
Description: partial 16S ribosomal RNA
Rfam family: Archaeal small subunit ribosomal RNA
Source: RNAcentral
CAGCACCUCAAGUGGUCAGGAUGAUUAUUGGGCCUAAAGCAUCCGUAGCCGGCGCUGUAAGUUUUCGGUUAAAUCUGUACGCUCAACGUACAGGCUGCCGGGAAUACUGCAGAUCUAGGGAGUGGGAGAGGUAGACGGUACUCGGUAGGAAGGGGUAAAAUCCUUUGAUCUAUUGAUGACCACCUGUGGCGAAGGCGGUCUACCAGAACACGUCCGACGGUGAGGGAUGAAAGCUGGGGGAGCAAACCGGAUUAGAUACCCGAGUAGUCC